RNAcentral lists this ribosomal RNA (497 nucleotides) under uncultured bacterium. RNAcentral describes it as "partial 16S ribosomal RNA". It matches the Rfam family "Bacterial small subunit ribosomal RNA", at positions 28 to 507 of the family's 1533-position model. The record is from RNAcentral.
GAUGAACGCUGGCGGCGUGCCUAAUACAUGCAAGUCGAGCGAACAGACGAGAAGCUUGCUUCUCUGAUGUUAGCGGCGGACGGGUGAGUAACACGUGGAUAACCUACCUAUAAGACUGGGAUAACUUCGGGAAACCGGAGCUAAUACCGGAUAAUAUUUUGAACCGCAUGGUUCAAAAGUGAAAGACGGUCUUGCUGUCACUUAUAGAUGGAUCCGCGCUGCAUUAGCUAGUUGGUAAGGUAACGGCUUACCAAGGCAACGAUGCAUAGCCGACCUGAGAGGGUGAUCGGCCACACUAGAACUGAGACACGGUCCAGACUCCUACGGGAGGCAGCAGUAGGGAAUCUUCCGCAAUGGGCGAAAGCCUGACGGAGCAACGCCGCGUGAGUGAUGAAGGUCUUCGGAUCGUAAAACUCUGUUAUUAGGGAAGAACAUAUGUGUAAGUAACUGUGCACAUCUUGACGGUACCUAAUCAGAAAGCCACGGCUAACUACGUG